Molecule: transfer RNA, 73 nt
Filed under: Ailuropoda melanoleuca (giant panda)
Lineage: Eukaryota; Metazoa; Chordata; Mammalia; Carnivora; Ursidae
Rfam family: tRNA
About the family: Transfer RNA (tRNA) molecules are approximately 80 nucleotides in length. Their secondary structure includes four short double-helical elements and three loops (D, anti-codon, and T loops).
Source: Rfam by way of RNAcentral
ACCUGACCAGCUCAGUUGGUGGAACAUGGGACUCUUGAUCUCCGGGUUGUGGGUUCGAGCCCCACGUUGGGUG